RNAcentral lists this transfer RNA (72 nucleotides) under Schistosoma japonicum. RNAcentral describes it as "tRNA-OTHER". Lineage: Eukaryota; Metazoa; Platyhelminthes; Trematoda; Strigeidida; Schistosomatidae. The record is from RNAcentral.
GACUCAGUGGUUCGAUGGUAAAGCGCUUGUCACGGAGCCGGAGGAUCCUGGGUUCAAUCCCCAAUGGGGUCG